CUUGACUUCUCUAACUUCAAGCAACCCUCGCGUCCCCUAUCUCUCCGUCCCUCCGCCACCCAAGUCGUUCCAGCUUCAAAGUCGGCUUGUUUGAGUCUCAUUCUUGAUAUUCAUUGUCA
Molecule: long non-coding RNA, 119 nt
Organism: Amblyraja radiata (thorny skate)
Lineage: Eukaryota; Metazoa; Chordata; Chondrichthyes; Rajiformes; Rajidae
Exons: 3
Source: RefSeq, a predicted model, not a curated record